GGUGACGGCGGGGGCUUGGCAAACCCCACCUGGAGCAAAACCAAAUAGGGGAACGACUGAGGGUGGUCCGCCCGAGUUCCCGGGUAGGUCGCUUGAUCUCGACGGUAACGUCGAGGCUAGAUGAAUGGUCAUUGUCCCGAAGGCGGGUGACCCCUUCGGGAAACAAGACCCGGCUUAUGGCCUUCUCUGACAC
Molecule: RNase P RNA, 193 nt
Filed under: Desulfobacteraceae bacterium
Lineage: Bacteria; Pseudomonadati; Thermodesulfobacteriota; Desulfobacteria; Desulfobacterales; Desulfobacteraceae
Description: partial RNase P RNA component class A
Rfam family: Bacterial RNase P class A
About the family: Ribonuclease P (RNase P) is a ubiquitous endoribonuclease, found in archaea, bacteria and eukarya as well as chloroplasts and mitochondria.
Source: RNAcentral